GACGAACGCUGGCGGCGUGCUUAACACAUGCAAGUCGAACGGAAAGGCCCUGCUUUUGUGGGGUGCUCGAGUGGCGAACGGGUGAGAAACCCGUGAGUAACCUGCCCUUGACUUUGGGAUAACUUCAGGAAACUGGGGCUAAUACCGGCUAGGAGCUCCUGCUGCAUGGGGGGGGUUGGAAAGUUUCGGCGGUUGGGGAUGGACUCGCGGCUUAUCAGCUUGUUGGGGGGGUAGUGGCUUACCAAGGCUUUGACGGGUAGCCGGCCUGAGAGGGUGACCGGCCACAUUGGGACUGAGAUACGGCCCAGACUCCUACGGGAGGCAGCAGUGGGGAAUAUUGCACAAUGGGCGGAAGCCUGAUGCAGCAACGCCGCGUGCGGGAUGACGGCCUUCGGGUUGUAAACCGCUUUCGCCUGUGACGAAGCGUGAGUGACGGUAAUGGGUAAAGAAGCACCGGCUAACUACGUG
This 468-nucleotide ribosomal RNA is filed under the name uncultured bacterium. RNAcentral describes it as "partial 16S ribosomal RNA". It matches the Rfam family "Bacterial small subunit ribosomal RNA", at positions 28 to 507 of the family's 1533-position model. The record is from RNAcentral.